CAAGUGCAUCUCACAUUACCUUCUGCUCAAAACUGAGACAAAAAGGUCUUAUGUUCCUCUGCUCUUCUUCCUCUCAUGCUCUCCAUUUUCAGUCGGAUAAGUUACACAAAAAUCCUCCUAGAACUAGUGAGAAACAGAGAAAGAGUAAGUGACUAAGUGAAGUGAGAACACUAGGCUUUUUGCCGCAAGUUUCAGCAUAAAGACAUGGAGUAGCGUGUCCCAAUGAGGAGGAGCAUACGAGGUUUUAUGAAGUAGACUGAUGUGGAAUGGUCAUGAUGUUGGAUGAAGUUGUUUAUCGUAUUUUUUUAUUUUGCAGCUGUUCAUUUGCUUAUGGAAACUGUGGAAGACAAGGUUGUACCUAAGGAGUAUGAUACUCCAUUAAAAUGACUUAAGUUCUUUGUUUUAUAUUUAAUUUGAUGGAUUAUGAGCAAGUAUAGUUAGUGUGUUUUAAAGGUAUGUAAGAAUUUGGGAUGAUAGUUUAUUCUGGUACAAUUUACUGAUUUGAAUUA
Carya illinoinensis is the source of this 509-nucleotide long non-coding RNA. RefSeq lists it as uncharacterized. The record is from RefSeq and is a predicted model, not a curated record. The transcript is spliced from 2 exons. NCBI's taxonomy places the organism in Eukaryota, Viridiplantae, Streptophyta, Magnoliopsida, Fagales, Juglandaceae.